AAUUUAAUAUGUGAGAUAUGAGUCUGGAAAAGGUCACAUAGUCAAAGAAUACCUUCUGAUUGGUUCACGUGAUGUGGCUUGCUUUAUCUUAAGCUCCCAGAAGAGAGGUUUUUGCCACUUGGCUGAUAUGGUGAUGCUUUGUGGCCUAUGUGGAGCAUUCUGUUUCUGUUGUCUUGAAUGUCAAGUAGCAAGUGACAUGAAUGAAUGCUGCUGUUGUGGCGGAAGCGUUGCCAUGAGGACUCUCUACCGGACAAGAUACGGAAUCCCUAUCUUCAAUACCUGAAGGAUGCAGGUGAAUUGGAAGGAAAUUAGAGAAGAGCAGUGAAACUAAUUUGGAGCAUGGAGGCAUUGACCGUUAAGGAAAAUUCAGAGCUAAAUAUGUACAGUUUUUGACAGUCAGUGGGGGCUAUAACUGCAAAGACCUGAAAGGUAUAGGGCAGUGUGUUAAGGAGUGGUGUGAGGACUAGUAAAAGGAUGAAGUUAAGAAAAGGAAUAGUUUGGCUGAAUAUCAGAAACUACAUCCUAACCCUAAAUGCAAAAAACUGUUUACCCGUUGAAAAAUUCCACCACUGGAAACAUUUAAAAUGGAAACUGGCCAGAACCCCAGAGGUUACUCUAUAAGGAACAAUCCUGCACAGGGAUCCAUCUGCUCUGAUUUCUGCAUUAUCCUGUGGUGUCCUGUGUGUUCUGUUUGUCAAAUAAAGAGAGAUAUUAACAAAAGGAAAAAAUUAAGGCUAUUCUAAUAAGAGCCAAAUCCUGUCCUCAUAACUCUCCAGCCUCCUUCAUUUGAGGCGGAUUCAUUAAAAUAUACAGGUCUGCACUACAAGCAAUGAUAAGCAAUCAAGCAGCGUGUUCCUGUGCUUCUUGAUUGUGUGUCGUACAGCCUCCAUAUACAAGAGUCUUCCCACCGCCUGCUGUACUUACAGUUCAAGAAAGUGCUGUAUGCAUUUUAAUUUGAUUGUUGCAAAGCACAACUUAGCUGAAAAAAGUCAAAGGAAAGAAACAUCCUCAAUUUUAUCUUUGCAUGUAUGUGUGUUAACUUUCACUACUGCUUCUCAAGUACCACUGUAUGUACUAAGCUGUCUUGCCUUGAUUAUCAUACACAUUGUAAGGAGAUUGAUCACUUUAGAUAAGCUAUUACCAGCAGGAGAGUGGGGUGGGGGGAGAAAACCUUUUGAAGUGAUAAACACCCAUUUUUUCAUGGUCUGUGGGUAUAAAAACAUCCUCACUGCAUUUUCCACUUUAAUGCAUCCGAUGAAGUGAGCUGUAGCUCACGAAAGCUUAUGCUCAAAUAAAUUGGUUAGUCUCUCAGGUGCCACAAGUACUCCUUUUCUUUUUGCAAAUACAGACUAACACGGCUGCUACUCUGAAACUUGAAAAGAGUAUUCUCCUGUUCUUAAUAUCAUGCUAAUGCUCGUAUACUCUAGGCCUAUUGUAUUCUCUCAUCGCUAUUUCUGCUGCCAUCCUAUAAGAACACAAGACAGAAUAAAUGCCGAUUGUUAACUUA
Long non-coding RNA from Chelonia mydas (Green sea turtle), 1507 nucleotides. RefSeq lists it as uncharacterized. The record is from RefSeq and is a predicted model, not a curated record. The transcript is spliced from 6 exons. NCBI's taxonomy places the organism in Eukaryota, Metazoa, Chordata, Testudines, Cheloniidae.